RNAcentral lists this ribosomal RNA (21 nucleotides) under Hirsutella minnesotensis. Its description in RNAcentral is "partial 18S ribosomal RNA". Lineage: Eukaryota; Fungi; Ascomycota; Sordariomycetes; Hypocreales; Ophiocordycipitaceae. The record is from RNAcentral.
CGACCUGCGGAGGGAUCAUUA